UAUAAAACUUAAGAUCGUAGGUAUUUCACUUUGUUUGCAUACCCAUUCAACUAUGGGUUGCCUGUAUUUAUAAUCUCAACAAGAUAACAACUGAGGGUUUGAAAACCCUAUUUACAAGGAGUUUCAAAACGUCAAGGAAUCCAUAACAGAAAACUACGGAUUACAAGAUUACAGAUAUACAUCCUAGAAACAAGGAAACCUAAUCAGUGAGGAGUUCAAAACAGAAACAAACUUCUGGAAGGACGCUGGACUCCACAAUGCACGGUGGAAUUAUCCUGAGGUUGACUUCGUCUAACAGCCCCCCGCAAGCUAACUGGUUGGGAAACAACCGGAAGCUUGGAAACUAGAAAUUUAAACCUGGACGAAGAUAACCCUUUAGUGAAAAUGUCAGCCAGUUGGUUCUGAGAACAAACAUAAUGAACCAAAAGCUGCCCACGAACAACUUUCUCACGAACAUAAUGAAAAUCAACUUCCAAAUGCUUGGUUCUGGAAUGAAAAACAGGAUUGGAAGCAAGUGCAAUCGAGGAGACAUUGUCACACCAUAUAACUGGUCGAACCAAAGGCAAAUGGAGAUCUCGGUAUAACGACCGGAACCACGAUAUCUCAGCAGCAGUAUAAGCCAAUUGACAGUACUCCGCCUCGGCACUCGAUCUUGAGACAGUAUUCUGCUUCUUCGAGCUCCAGGAAACAAGAUUUGAACCCAAAUAGAUACAAAAUCCUCCAGUAGAAUGACGAGUAUCAGGGUUACCCGCAUAGUCUGCAUCAGAGUAAGCUGUUAACGUGGCAUCUCCAGGUCGAUACAAUAAGCCAUGAUUAAACGUGGCUUUUAAGGAACGAAGUAUGCGUUUAACCACUGCCCAAUGUGUGUUCUUUGGGGAGUGCAUGAACUGGCACACCUGUUUUACAGCAUACGACAGAUCAGGCUGAGUUAGUGUGAGAUACUGUAAAGCACCAACGACACUACGAUACAUGUCUGGAUGCUCAUGGGGAUCACCAACAUAGGCAUUUAAUUUCUGACCAGUCACCACCGGAGUAGAAAUAGGUUUGGCGUCAAUGAAUUUAGAGCGAGUGAGUAAGUCUAAGGCAUACUUAGACUGACUGAGAUGCAUGGAAUCACCAUUAUAUUGGACCUCAAUACCCAGGAAAUAAUGCAAGGGCCCCAAGUCCUUCAUGGAAAACAAACUGCCAAGUUUCUUGAUCAAAUGAGCCAUUUGAGUAGAACUAUUUCCUGUAAUUAAAAUGUCAUCGACAUAGACUAACAGAAUAAGAUAUACACCCCGUUGAUUGAAGACAAACAAACUAUAGUCACAUGUGGAUUCUUCAAAACCUAGUUGAAGUAAGAAGUCCGAAAACUGUUGAAACCAAGCCCGAGACGCUUGUUUUAAACCAUAAAGUGAACGUUGCAACUUACAGACAUGGUUUGGAAACUGUUGAUCAAUGAAUCCCGAUGCUUGGCGCAUGAACACAUCUUUAGUUAAAUGGCCAUGCAAAAACGCAUUUUGCACGUCGAGUUGGCUCACAUGCCAUUGCUUGGACACGGCAAGACUCAACACAAGCCGAAUUAUGGUGUGCUUAACAACUGGACUGAACGUCUCAUUAUAAUCCACUCCAGCUUUCUGGUGAAAUCCGUUGGCUACUAAACGAGCUUUGUAACGCUCUAUAGUACCAUCGGCUCUGCGUUUAAUCUUGAACACCCACUUAUUGGGAAGCACAUUCAUGGUAUGAUGAUAUGGAACUAAAGUCCACGUCCCACACCGUUGUAAAGCAUUGAACUCCUGGACCAUUGCAUGUCGCCAUUCCUCAUGCUUAACUGCCUGACUGUAACAAGUAGGUUCAACAGAAACAUAAUCAACUGCAACAUGCAUAGCAUACUUAGUGUUAGGUUUGAUAACCCCUGACUUGAAACGUGUAGUCAUGGAAUGACCCGUAUCACGAGGCUCAUCAAAAUGCACAGGUCGAGAAUCCACUAAUACUUGCUCAUUGGAUGGAAGAGAUGGUUCUAAAGGCCGACUAGGUGCAACAGUGGACAAGGUCGUAUUUGGCACGGUGGUGGGAUGCUCGGGACUUAUGGUAGUAUUAGGGAAGUCGAAACAUGGGGUGGAGGUCGUGACGUGUGGGAAAGAACAAGAAACAAUGGGGCUAGAAGGAGGCAAAGCAGAUAGCGUAGGGUUACUAGAGAAGGGAAAAGUAAAGAAUAACGGGGGUAAAGAAUGGUUACCUGGAGGAUCAACACGUUCAGAAGAAGAUGUGAGUCCCUUAAAAGGGAAGAAGUCCUCAUCGAAUAGGACAUGGCGAGACAAAUAAACUCGUCUCGUGGACAGAUCCAAGCAUUUGUAUCCUUGAUGAUUGAGUGAGUACCCGAGAAAAACACAUGGUUUGGAUUUUGGUUGCAAUUUAUGUUGAUUGUAUGGUGUUAACCAAGGGAAACAACGACACCCAAAAACUUUCAACAUGUCAUAAGAUGGUUUCUUCUGAAAAUUUUUCUCAAAUGGUGAAGUGUUUGAAAGCACACGCGUUGGCAAGCGAUUGAUUAGGUAUGUAGCAGUUAAACAAGCAUCAACCCAAAAUUUAUUGGACAUGGAAGAUUUGGAAAGCAUGACAAUGGCAGUUUCAACAAUGUGGCGAUGUUUGCGUUCUGCUAAACCAUUUUGUUCAGGAUGUUUAGGGCAUGAAAAGCGUUGUGAAAUACCAUGAACAUCAAGAAAUUGUUGGAAAACAUGACUUUUGUAUUCACCACCUUCAUUGCAUUGAAGAGUUUUUAUUUUGCAGUUAAACAUAUUUUCAACUUUGGCUUUAAACUUGACAAAAAUUUCAAACACUUCAGAUUUUUGUUUCAUGGGAAAAAUCCAAGAAUAUCGCGAAAAAUCAUCAACAAACAAAACAUAAUAACGAAAACCUUCAUUAGAAAUAACUGGAGAACACCACACAUCAGAAUGUAAAAGUUGCAAAGGAAAUUCAGACAUAGACUCGGAAAUAUUGAAAGGUAACCUAGUGCUUUUACCUAGAGGGCAUGACUCACAAAAGGUUACAUCACAGGCACCAUCAAUAGGUACCAUUUUAUUUGAAACUAAAAAUUUAAUUAUUGGUGUGGCAGGGUGACCAAGACGAGCAUGCCACUGUUGUGCUGAGACCCUUACUCCCACACAAGCAGAUACAGAAUGCUUGAAAUGUCCACUGCCAUCUGAAAAUGGGUACAACCCAUUCUCACAUCUCCCUCGGAAAAGCGUCUUUCGUGUCUUUAGGUUCUUGACAAGGAAAAAAUGUGGAAAAUGAUUAGGUAAUAGUCAUUAUCUAGGGUAAACCUAUGGGCAGAGAGUAUAUUAGUGGAUGCAUUUGGACAGUGAAGGACAUCUCGUAGAAUAAAAGAGCAAGCAUUAGUUUCAAGUGUAUUUGAACCAUAGUGUGCAAUCGAGAUACCUGCAUUAUUACCUACACCUCCCACGCCUUCAUUACCAUUGUAUUCUUUGGGAUUGAUCAAGUUCUGAAGAUCAGGAGUGAUGUGUGCAUUGGCACCGGUGUCAAGGAGCCAAGAGCCAUUCUGUUGUUUGUUCAGGGUGAUAGGUGAGGACGUCAUCGCUGAAAGACGUGCAGCUGGUAUGUGGCAUUCGAAUGCAGUGUUCAUGUGGUGGUAACAGUCAAGAGCAGGAUGUCCUGGUUUACCACAGAUUUGACAAACGAUUCUGUCUCCACAAGAAACAAACCUGUCUCCAUUACCGUGGUUGUUCUGCGGAGCAUUAUUGUUGCGAGAGUUAUUCCCUCUCGGAGCUGCAUCACGGUUGGAGGAGUUGCCGCGUCCUCCACUACGAGAACGUCCACCACCACGUCCACGUGAAGUUACAAAGGCAUUGACAACAGUGCCUUCAACCGAAUGAACGGUGUGUUCUGCCAGUCUCCUCUCCGUAGUCAGCAGCAAGGAUUCAAGAGUUGGAUAAGUGAUAGGAGUGUCACGAGCUUGUGCAGCACUCACAGUCAUCUCGAACACUGGCCCAAGAUUAUUCAACACAAUCUGAACCAGUUCGUCGUCACUCACAAGUUGUCAGCUAGUGCAUUCAUUCGAUCCAGGUAAUCCGCCACAGAUAGAUCACCUUUUUUUGUCUGCAACAACGCAUUUCUCAGAAACAAAAUUCGAUUUUAAGACGUGGAUGCAUACCUUUGCUCAAGAGCUUCCCAGGUAGCUCGAGCCGUUCGUUUGCUUGCCACCACAGACAAGACAGAAGCAGUGAGAGAGCCAUUAAUCCAACUAAGAAUCAUUUGAUCAUGCUACACCCAAGUUGUGUACGCAGGAUUGACAGUAGCUGAACCAUCAACAUGUUUUGCAGGACAUAGCACCGUGUCGUCAAUGUAGCCCAUCAGAUCCCUACUUUUCAGAAUAGGGAGAAUUUAUGCCAACCACAAUGGGUAGUUGGUCCUAUCUAAUUUGAUAUUGACGACAGUGGAGAAUGGCUGGAAGGUAGGAGUUUGGGGGUUGGGAUGGACCACAGGAACAACUGGAACAUUGUUUUCAGCCAUGGAAGCGGUGUUGGGAAAUAUGACAGGACUAGGAUCUUUGUCGUUACACAAAAAAGGCUCUAGAGACCAUAUAAAACUUAAGAUCGUAGGUAUUUCACUUUGUUUGCAUACCCAUUCAACUAUGGGUUGCCUGUAUUUAUAAUCUCAAUAAGAUAACAAUUGAGGGUUUGAAAACCCUAUUUACAAGGAGUUUCAAAACGUCAAGGAAUCCAUAACAGAAAACUACGGAUUACAAGAUUAUAGAUAUACAUCCUAGAAACAAGGAAACCUAAUCAGUGAGGAGUUCAAAACAGAAACAAACUUCUGGAAGGACGCUGGACUCCUCAAUGCACGGUGGAAUUAUACUGAGGUUGACUUCGUCUAACACUGUCAACCAAUGCAACCCUGUCGUUGCUAGUUUGAAAACCUAAUUCUUGCUGUUCUUUUUGGUCCGACGAUUGCACUGGAGUUCCAAUGCAGUUUGAUGAUUGCUGCACUAGUUUGCAUAUGCACAGAAGAGAAGGAAGAAGAUUCAGGAAAAAGAAAAAAAGAGGUGAUGUUUGAAGAAAAAAAAAGGGAGAAAAAGAAUAGAGAAAAGAAAAUGAAAAGAAAAAACAGAGAAAAAGUGAGACAGGCCCCCACGGGCAAGGAGAAAAAUUGUUAGUUUUUGAGUUUCUGAGAGGCCCACAUGGGCAAUGUGGCAUGUUGUCACUAUCUAAGUGUUAGUGUUUGUGUUUGUUCGUUUGUUGGUACAAUUGAGAUAUGAAAAUCUCAUCCUUCUAGUGACAAGGAGCACUCAUGUGCUUUAUUUUCAUACUUUCACAUUAGCAUGUAAGAAUCAGAAUCACUUUGCAAGUUUAAGUCGAGCUCGCAAGUUCGCCAAUCAAUUCAAGUCAAGUUCACCAAUCAAGUCAAGUUUGCCAAUCAAGUUAAGUCAAGUUUGUAUGCCUG
RNAcentral lists this long non-coding RNA (5439 nucleotides) under Malus domestica (apple). Its description in RNAcentral is "long non-coding RNA (MDOM_LNC010968)". Lineage: Eukaryota; Viridiplantae; Streptophyta; Magnoliopsida; Rosales; Rosaceae. The record is from RNAcentral.